RNAcentral lists this long non-coding RNA (1260 nucleotides) under Homo sapiens (human). Its description in RNAcentral is "non-protein coding lnc-LMO2-1:2". Lineage: Eukaryota; Metazoa; Chordata; Mammalia; Primates; Hominidae. The record is from RNAcentral.
GUUGGAAGUCAGCCCUGACCAGAGGGGAUGGGAUGUGAGAGACGGAUGUCAGGUGGCAUGAGGCAAGGGAAGAAUUUCAGAGGCAGGAAGAAAGUACACAUAAUAGCUCCCUGAGCAGAAACAGAAAUGGGAAGGGAAUAUGAUCUGAGAGAGAGUUUCAUCUGCCUUUACAAUGCCGGAGGCAGAGAUUGGCACACAAGGACAGGGUCUUGUCUUCUGGUAGCUUGUCUAAUACAGGACACAGGCAAGCUCACAAGAAACUGCCUCGUAGGGCUGAGUGAAAUUUGCUGAUAGAGCUGCAGAAUCACAUUCCUCAAAGACAGGAAGGAGCUUAACGGAGAGGCCUGAUGGGAUUUGGAGAGCUGCCUGUUUCCUCUGCACUGCAGGAUGGGAUUGAGCGUGCCCCUGGCUGAGGAAGGAGGGCACAAGGACGCUGCGGCCGACAGGCCAGUUUCCAUAGGCAAGCCGUGGCUCAGCUGGCUCUUCCGCUCCAAGUCUCACAAGGCUGCAAUCAAGGUGUCAGCCUGGGCUACAGUGUGAUCUGAGACUCAGGUCUUCUUCCAAGCACAGGUGGUUGUCUGCAGAAUUCAUUUCUCUGCCGCUAUAGAACUCAUGGUGGCUCGUUUCCAGGCCAACAGGAGAGCUUCUCUUCUGCUUCAAGAGCUUAAAAUUCUUCUUAUCAUGCCCAUUUUUGUAUUGGGUGGUUUGUCUUCUUACUGAGUUGGAUGAGUACUUUAUAAAUUCUAGGUACAAGCCCUAUGCAGAUGUACAUAUUGCAAAUAUUUUCUCCCAGGCCAUAACUUGCCAUUUCAUUUUCUUAAUGGAGUGUUGGGAGAAGAGAAAUGUUUGAUUUAAAUGAAGUCUAACUUCUCAACUUUUUUUUUGUAUGGUUCAUGCUUCUUAUUCUUAUACAAGAAACAUUUGCCUAUCCAAAGGCUACAAUAUUUUCUCCUAUAUUUUCUUCUAGAAGUUUGAUAACCUUAGCCUUAUAUUUAGUUCUAUGACCCAUUUUAAGUCAACUUUUCUGUAUGACGUGAGAUAAGAGUUGAGAUUCAAUUUUCCCCCCAAAUUGAUAUCCCAUUUUUACCACACUAUCGGUUGAAAACACCAUUUCCCCUGUUGGCACCUUAACUGAAAAAAAUAAAUUGACCAUACAUAAGUGGAUCUAAUUCUAGAUGCUUUAUUGUUGUAUUAGUUUACAUUUCUCUACUUAUAUCUACAAUAAUUAUGUGAUUGCUCCAUGUUUAUAUUAAGUCUUUC